GGGUAAUGGCUCACCUAGGCGACGAUCCCUAGCUGGUCUGAGAGGAUGACCAGCCACACUGGAACUGAGACACGGUCCAGACUCCUACGGGAGGCAGCAGUGGGGAAUAUUGCACAAUGGGCGCAAGCCUGAUGCAGCCAUGCCGCGUGUGUGAAGAAGGCCUUCGGGUUGUAAAGCACUUUCAGCGAGGAGGAAGGUGGUGAGCUUAAUACGCUCAUCAAUUGACGUUACUCGCAGAAGAAGCACCGGCUAACUCCGUGCCAGCAGCCGCGGUAAUACGGAGGGUGCAAGCGUUAAUCGGAAUUACUGGGCGUAAAGCGCACGCAGGCGGUCUGUCAAGUCGGAUGUGAAAUCCCCGGGCUCAACCUGGGAACUGCAUUCGAAACUGGCAGGCUAGAGUCUUGUAGAGGGGGGUAGAAUUCCAGGUGUAGCGGUGAAAUGCGUAGAGAUCUGGAGGAAUACCGGUGGCGAAGGCGGCCCCCUGGACGAAGACUGACGCUCAGGUGCGAAAGCGUGGGGA
RNAcentral lists this ribosomal RNA (520 nucleotides) under uncultured Enterobacterales bacterium. RNAcentral's name for it is "bacterial SSU rRNA". It matches the Rfam family "Bacterial small subunit ribosomal RNA", at positions 255 to 767 of the family's 1533-position model. Lineage: Bacteria; Pseudomonadati; Pseudomonadota; Gammaproteobacteria; Enterobacterales. The record is from RNAcentral.